This 219-nucleotide unclassified non-coding RNA is filed under the name Melitaea cinxia (Glanville fritillary). RNAcentral's name for it is "misc RNA ENSMCXG00005021779.1". Lineage: Eukaryota; Metazoa; Arthropoda; Insecta; Lepidoptera; Nymphalidae. The record is from RNAcentral.
CUGACUGCUAUGGACAGAAUGUUAUAAUGAAAUGGUUCGACUUGAUCAGCAACAUUGGGUCAACUUGUGGAUUUGUAACUGGAUUUAGCUUCGUAUCGGUGAUAGAGUUUAUUUAUUUUUAUACAGUUAAAUUAUUUCGUGAGAUCGAGAGUCGACGUCGUCAAGGGAAACGCAUCGCCAGCGAAUCGUCUACCACAACCCACUUUGAACCUACCAAAC